CCAAAGGUCGAUGGAAGGAGGCUAUUUCUCCUCCACUUGCAGCCAGAGGUGAGUUCCAGCCUCUCCCAAGUUGACUUUCAUGUUUUCCAUGUUUUUCACCAAAUCUUUCAAGGGUUUUAAGAGUUUUGGUGUGUUUUGAAGGUUUUGAGCAAAACUAGCAAGUUUGGAAGUUUGGAGCUUUGGAAGAGGUUUUCUUCAUAUCUCCACGUUAGGAUCACUCAUCCUCAAGUUCUUCAGGAGGUAAGGGUGGAUCCUGAACUUCUUUGCUGAUUUUUAACGGUUUUAUGAAAGUUUGAUGGGUAGUAUGUAUGAUUAGGUUUAGG
Molecule: long non-coding RNA, 323 nt
Filed under: Manihot esculenta (cassava)
Lineage: Eukaryota; Viridiplantae; Streptophyta; Magnoliopsida; Malpighiales; Euphorbiaceae
Description: long non-coding RNA (MESC_LNC005623)
Source: RNAcentral